UAAAAAAUAUUUUCGGUUAUGUCUUAUAUAUUAUAACUAGAUCAUAACCCGUGCUAUACAGCACGGGCAUUAAUAUUUUUUAUAAAUUAAAUUGUAUACUUUGUUUGAAUUACACAAGAAAUAGUAUAGUAUAAAAAUGAUGUCAUAAUAUUUUUCAAUGUUUGUACUAUUUGCAUAUAAUGCUGCAUUAUAUUGAAUUUG
Molecule: small RNA, 201 nt
Filed under: Arabidopsis thaliana (thale cress)
Lineage: Eukaryota; Viridiplantae; Streptophyta; Magnoliopsida; Brassicales; Brassicaceae
Description: ATSL183080
Source: RNAcentral